RNAcentral lists this microRNA precursor (94 nucleotides) under Branchiostoma floridae (Florida lancelet). RNAcentral's name for it is "mir-2060 microRNA precursor family". It matches the Rfam family "mir-2060 microRNA precursor family". Lineage: Eukaryota; Metazoa; Chordata; Leptocardii; Amphioxiformes; Branchiostomatidae. The record is from Rfam by way of RNAcentral.
GUUAACAUGUGAAUGAAUGGUGUUCAGUACCACGGGCAGGCCUUUUUAUUUGUGUGUGGAUGGUGUUCAGCACCAGGAACAGGUCUGUUUAUUC